Molecule: long non-coding RNA, 1388 nt
Organism: Pyrus x bretschneideri (Chinese white pear)
Lineage: Eukaryota; Viridiplantae; Streptophyta; Magnoliopsida; Rosales; Rosaceae
Exons: 3
Source: RefSeq, a predicted model, not a curated record
AUAUUCAAUUUUGUUUAUCCUUCUUUGUGUGAUGCGAAAGAAACAAUUAUUAACAUUUAAAAAAAAAAUCAUCAUUAACUAAUCUACGUUGUGAAAGAUGAGAAAAAAAGAGGGUGCAUUAUAACAUAUUUUGGAAUGCAAGUAAUGUUGAUGUUUAAUAUUCAGAAGCAUGCUUGUGAUUUCCAGAACACCUGCUUCUGCCACAUCUCCCGUCCCAGGCGAGAUCUUCAUGCCCUUGCGCCUUCUCUUUGUAACUUUUAAUUUCGUCUCGAAAAAAAUUUACAUUUAUAUUUAGCAUUGGGUUGGUAACUGGUUUGUCAUUGCCCACAAUUCAUGUCCAAUAAAAGCCAUUUCUCAAUGGUGGUGGAUCCACAAGAUUUCCUGAUUGGUUAGGAAGAAAUUUUAGGUCUUCGCGGUCUUUGCGUUCGUUUCCCUCUGUUCUUCUCCGAUUUUGGCCGGAUCUGUUUUGGUUUUCUUUUUCGUUUGACGGCCGUAAAAACAAACUCUGAACCAAGUAAUUUGCCAAUCAGGACCUGAGCUUGGAGGUAAUUUCACUUUUUGCACAAUCGUCCGCGUGCGCCUGCUGCUUCGGCGACUCGAGCUUCGCAGUUCGCUUUUCUGAACGAAAUCAGAUUUUUGGUAUGGCAGAGAAGGAGAUGAAAUAUAGGGUUGAGUGGUUCAACAAGUAAGUUUUCUGCACGGCAUCUUUAAUCUGUUGUAUGCUUAUGUUUACUCUUCGUUUUAAUUAUUCACUUAUACAUCAUCUACAUGGUUAAAAGUUAUAAUACUAUACACACUGCAAUUUAUAAUUGCACCACAGAGUACCACUGUAAUUAUGGAUGUUGUUAAGUUCAUGAAAUGAUUAAUGGAUUUUGUAAAAAAAAAAUUUAUAUGUUUCCCACAGACAGAGGAUGUGCAAGAAGCAAGGAAAAUAAAUUUGUAUGCAUUGUUUGUUAAUUUGAUUAUGCUAAAUAUUAAUUUUAUUGUAAUUGUUUGCAUUUAUUUUUGGUUUCUCGAAUUCUUAUGUUUGGUGGUUAUUUCGUGUUUCGGCUAAAGCAUUUGGUUAUGACUGGUUUGUUACUUUGAUCACUGGAAGAUUUGAACGCCCUCCCCUCACUCUCUCGAACAUAUAUUGGUCCUUCUUUCAUGGUAGUCAGUUUUUAGGACUUGACUUUUUGACCAUAUCCUUAUAUAUCAUCAUCCAUAAAAUCUGUCCAAUCUGUAGGAUUGGACAUAUAUUGGUCCUUCUUCACCGACUCUCCUUUGCCCUGACAACUACUUGACUAAUACUAUUGUUGUACCAAAAAAGUUUCAUGUGGUCAGAUGUAUGAGUCCGGUACAUAAGAAAGCUUUCGUAUUAUACAUACUGAUGUGAAAGUUUGUCUAUA